AACGAACGCUGGCGGCAGGCUUAACACAUGCAAGUCGAGCGAGACCUUCGGGUCUAGCGGCGGACGGGUGAGUAACGCGUGGGAACGUGCCCUUCUCUACGGAAUAGCCCCGGGAAACUGGGAGUAAUACCGUAUACGCUCUUUGGGGGAAAGAUUUAUCGGAGAAGGAUCGGCCCGCGUUGGAUUAGGUAGUUGGUGGGGUAAUGGCCCACCACGCCGACGAUCCAUAGCUGGUUUGAGAGGAUGAUCAGCCACACUGGGACUGAGACACGGCCCAGACUCCUACGGGAGGCAGCAGUGGGGAAUCUUGGACAAUGGGGGCAACCCUGAUCUAGCCAUGCCGCGUGAGUGAUGAAGUCCUUAGGGUUGUAAAGCUCUUUCAGCUGGGAAGAUAAUGACGGUACCAGCAGAAGAAGCCCCGGCUAACUCCGUG
Molecule: ribosomal RNA, 433 nt
Filed under: uncultured bacterium
Lineage: Bacteria
Description: partial 16S ribosomal RNA
Rfam family: Bacterial small subunit ribosomal RNA
Source: RNAcentral